UACGUAGGGUGCAAGCGUUGUCCGGAAUUAUUGGGCGUAAAGAGCUCGUAGGCGGUUUGUCGCGUCUGCUGUGAAAUCCCGAGGCUCAACCUCGGGUCUGCAGUGGGUACGGGCAGACUAGAGUGUGGUAGGGGAGAUCGGAAUUCCUGGUGUAGCGGUGGAAUGCGCAGAUAUCAGGAGGAACACCGAUGGCGAAGGCAGAUCUCUGGGCCAUUACUGACGCUGAGGAGCGAAAGCAUGGGGAGCGAACAGG
Molecule: ribosomal RNA, 253 nt
Filed under: uncultured bacterium
Lineage: Bacteria
Description: partial 16S ribosomal RNA
Rfam family: Bacterial small subunit ribosomal RNA
Source: RNAcentral